UACGGAGGGCGCGAGCGUUAAUCGGAAUUACUGGGCGUAAAGCGCGCGUAGGCUGUUGUGUAAGUUGGGGGUGAAAUCCCACGGCUCAACCGUGGAACAGCCCUUGAUACUGCGCGACUUGAAUCCGGGAGAGGGUGGCGGAAUUCCAGGUGAAGGAGUGAAAUCCGUAGAUAUCUGGAGGAACAUCAGUGGCGAAGGCGGCCACCUGGACCGGUAUUGACGCUGAGGCGCGAAAGCGUGGGGAGCAAACAGG
RNAcentral lists this ribosomal RNA (253 nucleotides) under uncultured bacterium. Its description in RNAcentral is "partial 16S ribosomal RNA". It matches the Rfam family "Bacterial small subunit ribosomal RNA", at positions 524 to 776 of the family's 1533-position model. The record is from RNAcentral.